Non-coding RNA from Trachymyrmex cornetzi, 98 nucleotides. NCBI's taxonomy places the organism in Eukaryota, Metazoa, Arthropoda, Insecta, Hymenoptera, Formicidae. The record is from Rfam.
CCUUCGAUAGCUCAGUUGGUAGAGCGGUGGACUGUAGAGGUUUAGAGCUCCCUUCAAAAGAAAUCCAUAGGUCGCUGGUUCAAAUCCGGCUCGAAGGA